Molecule: long non-coding RNA, 2262 nt
Organism: Triticum aestivum (bread wheat)
Lineage: Eukaryota; Viridiplantae; Streptophyta; Magnoliopsida; Poales; Poaceae
Exons: 4
Source: RefSeq, a predicted model, not a curated record
CCCAAGCCCAACCAGCACCUAUCUACUACCUCCCCUGAUCCCCUCACUCUCUCCACUCCCAGACUCCCAGUCCACUCACGAUGGCAGAUCUCGGCGAGUCACCCACCCCACCGCCUCCGCUCUCGCCCAUACAGUCGGCGACCUCGUCUUGCACCGCCACCCCAUCUCAUCCCCUCCCCAACUCCCCUCCACUCAUCUGACGGCGGCUAGAGACGCACACAACCGGCGACCAACAUCAAACAAAGGUCGCCACCGCCGGCGGUGGAAGGACAGUCUUCUCCCACCGCUAGCCGCAGCCUCCGCCUCUCCCUGAUCCUCGGCCUCCUCGACCGCCGCUCGCUCUCCUAGGAAGCACCUCGCCGCCUCCCUGCCCAUGCCGUCUUCGCCGACUGCCCUGCUCGCGCCGACCUUGCGAAUCUCGCGGCCGCGCUUGGCAGUGCUCGACUUGUCCUCGCCGCCGCCAGCGGCGACGGGUCCUUCCCGUGCCUCUACCGCCUCGGGGCCGAGUCCUCCUCUCCCCAAAUCGACACCCGCCCCUUUGUCGAGCCUGCCGUGCCAGCGACAUGAGAAGGAUGGUGGCCGUCGAGGCUUCGGAUGCGGUCGACGCAGAUGAGAACAGUUCAUAGAGCCGUACCAGCCCAGCAUUCUGUUCAUGCCAAAUGAUUGAGUCCUGGUGAGGUUCAUUGCUGAACAUGCAUGGUCUCCGCAGGCAAGGAACACAUAAAAGUAAUUCAGUGUGUUAUUAGAAACUCAUGAGCAUGAAAGAGAAAUUUGGAUCAUGUUCGAACAUGGGUAGAGAGCAGAUCAAGGAGAACUUGAAGAUUAAAGGCAAUGAAAGGCCUGGGAGAUGAUCAGAUGGAUAUAAUGGAUGCAACAUGAACGCAAGAGAUAUGGCGAACUUGAAGGCAUGAAUAAGAAGGUACUUUAAUUCAAAGCAUCAACAGUCAAUCAUUGAGUUCCUCGACUUUAUUCUAUCUUGAACUUUAAGCAGAUCUUGAACUUUAAUCUAAACAUAGAACACAUUCAGCAAAAGGCACAUGUAGAGUGCCCGUUAGUGGUUACUACAGUUGGGUAUUUAUUGGUCUAAAUUGUACAGUGCGUUUUAUACAUGUCAAGCUGAAACCUGCACAAUGAUCCUCUUAUUCUACCCCACUGAACUACCGAUAAAUAUUGAUUAUACUGAACUCUGUUCUUUCUUUGUUGAAUAAGAACUCAUCUUUUCUCCUUUUUCCUUGGUGUUAGACCAACUGCUGUAGCAGUGGCUACUGUUUCUACUCCAAGAGUGGAAUCCUGAGUUCUGAUGUUAUGGAAUAUUCCUUUGGCAGGCUUAGGCUCGGUUAGAUUGCUUGUGAUGCCUGUCUUUCCUCUUUUACCUUGAUAUAUGUUUCAGACACAUGAGAACCUGGAACACAUAGCAAUGAUGGAGAGGGUUUUGGGACCCGUACCAGAGCACAUGAUAUGGAACGCUAGGUUCAUAUUUAUACCGUUAAUUUGAUUAUCAUUUUUUAAUUUCUCGUUGAGCUAUCAUUAACAAACAAAUUAUCUCCAUCUGUGUCCUCGAGGUCCAGGAUUACUUUUAGAACCAAACCCUUAUUAUUGGGCUUGUUUCUCAAGAGAAUGGCAAUAUCUCCACUUGUAUCCUGGAAGUCCAGGGUUUGAGUCAGUAUCCUUAAAAAAUCAAACAAGGGAAAUGUUGGGUAAGAACCUAAUAAUUCCCUUUCCCAGGACCCCACAACAAGUGGGAGCUUUUGAUUCUGGGAUAACCUUUGUUUAUAUUUUUGAGAGUGAAAUAUAUAUCAUUCUCCUUUGCACUAAAUCUUCUGCAUCAAAUGUUUUGAAGAACUCUGGCACGUCCUACCUGCAAAGAAAUAUUUCUUUUAUUUUUACACGCAGUCACAUUUUUUUUGGCUGUGGUUCCCUAAGUUCUACGGUUUAUAGUUGUUCACUGGUUUGCUACUUAGAAGUAGUUUUGGCUUGCAUCUAUUAUGUUAUUGAUUUGUAUUUUGUGAGUUUCACACCAUUGUCUUUGUGUAUAUAUGUAAAUUUCAGAUAUGUCUGUGUGCAUGUGCUGGCAGUGUGUAUGUGAUGGCUGUGUAUAUGAAAUCAUGUAAAUUUCACAUCUACUAUGUAGGUUCAUACCAUUGUAUUUCUGUAUGGAUGUAAAUUCCAGAUAUGUCUGUGUGUAUGUGCUGGCAGUGUGUAUGUGAUGACUGUGUAUAUGAAAUCAUGUAAAUUUCAGAUUUGCUAUGUAGGUUCAUACCA